Non-coding RNA from Paramuricea clavata, 526 nucleotides. NCBI's taxonomy places the organism in Eukaryota, Metazoa, Cnidaria, Anthozoa, Malacalcyonacea, Plexauridae. The record is from the annotation of a GenBank genome assembly.
CCAUUUCAGCGUUUUACCCCCAUUUCAGCGUUUUACCCCCAUUUCAGCGUUUUACCCCCAUUUCAGUUUCCGCUUUCAGUUUCCGUUUCCGCGAUUCAGUUUCAGCGUUUUAUCCCUACCCAAUUUAAGUACUACUACUAAAUUCUAACCAAAUUGCAAAUUUCGACACGUUAUAAUGCCGUUUCCUGACCAUCAGAUUCUGUCAAAUCUCCCCAAAGUCCAGGAAAUGGCAUUUCAGAGACUCUAAAUUCAAAAAUAUUCCUGGGGGGCAUGCCCCCGGACCCCCCUAGACAAACCUCGCACCUGCGGCGCUCGGCUCGUGCCUUCGGCCCUCGUUUAUCAAGCGUAAAAUUAUAGGGGCGCGGAUUGGUUGACAGCCAACUGCCCCCCCCCCAGAAAAAUAGUACCCAGCACGCCACUGCAUUCCCAUAUUUUGUAUCCGCUGCGUGGGCAUGAAUUGCAACUGGCUAUUGUUUUUGUAAUUGAAAUUUCGAGAGACCUAUUUUUGGCCUAGAAUUUAUGAUUG